Long non-coding RNA from Oreochromis niloticus (Nile tilapia), 2674 nucleotides. The record is from Ensembl. NCBI's taxonomy places the organism in Eukaryota, Metazoa, Chordata, Actinopteri, Cichliformes, Cichlidae.
CCCACCUGGAGACUGUUUACACUGUGAUCUGCCUUUGGUGGCUUUUUGGCAGCUGUGACACUCACUGCUGCCCUCACCAACACACAACAAAACAACGACUACACAACACACUACCUACACACUAAACAUCACAAAUCUCUCACAUCUCAAAACUCGCUGUCAAUAUCGCUCUCUCUCUCUCUCUCUCUCUCUCUCCAUUUUAUCUCGGCUGUAACAUCGGUUGAUGAAAUAUGAGGACACGAGGAAGCGUGGCACAUUAAAUGUUGCACAACAUAUUCAUGAGUUUCAUAUCAGAUAAGAAAAAUAUUUUUAGAGACCGUUCAGAUGAACUUUUAUCAUUUUGUCCUUUAAAUUUGUUCCAUCAUGUGACUCGGCUGUAAUAUAAACACUUCUGGGUUCUUUUUUAGUCUAAUCUAUAAAACCACAGCACGUCUGACACCAUCAGUGGCCAAUCUGAAGUCUCCAGCACAUCACAGACCACAGAUCAGAUCAUCACAUCUGUCAGGACAGAAAAACUAGCAAUAGUAAAAAGUACUGCAGAGUCUCAGCCCCUCUCUCUCCCCCCACUUUCUUUACACAGCAAAGGAGAGGACAGAGGAGAGAGACUGGAGGAACGGGUCCUCCUCCAUGAGAAUGUGGACUCCUGCACAGACCAUCAGGUCCAUGUUUCAACACAGGACGGAGAAACAAAAACCCAGCAGAAGCUUCCAGCUGUGAAAAGAAGCCGUUUCAGAGCUGUUGAAGUGAACCUGGUGGUUCUGUUUCUGCUGAUUCUGGCUGGAAUCACAACACGCUGUGAGGAGUUUUAUUAUCAUGCUCAUGAUACACUCCCAUGUUAAAUGAGCACCUUUGCUGCCUUAAAAACAUGUUUCCAUUCAGGACUAAAUGAGUUUUGGUCUCUAAGGAUAGUUUCCCUCUUCAUAAAAACUGCACGGUGGCAUUUUAAAUUCUCUGAUCAAUAAUAUGAGCUGCUGUGUGGUACAGCCUGACCAACAAGUUGGUUUUGCUGACUGAGCUUCUAGUAUUUCAUGAGUCUGUUACUUAGCACUGAUUAGCAGGUGUGUGUCUGUGUGCAUGAUUCCUGGCUCAUAUCUUGUGUGUGUUGUGGAGGUGGAGUGAAUGUUCUUGUUGUUCCUUCAAACUCUUCACUCAACACUUCUGUGAUUAUAUCAACAAAGCAGACAGGCAGCAGCAUCUGCUGCAGACUGAUGCAGGUGCAGUCACACUACGUUAGACAGUGGCCGUCUGUCAUUGUGCGACUAGUUAGUUCACUUGGGGCGUUUAUCAAUAUGCGUACUUGCGUUCUCGUGUACUCGUGAUACGUCAUCAGUCGGAGACCAAGUACUGUUCCAAUUCGAAGUACGCAUCACGCCGAGAAUGCGAAAAAGUCCCGGAUGUGUUCUCGAUCCGCCCAUUUUAUCGAGCAUGCAUCGGUGUGGACUUGGGACAGCUAUAUAUCCCAGAAUGCAUUUCGUCCAAAACUCAACAGCGGACUCCCGGCACAUCGCCCCCCCCCCCUCUUCUCACUACUCAGGUUAAAGAAACCCCAGCAGCUGUCUAUAGUAUUGAGUGUCCACUAGAAUAGAAAUAAAAGCGUUCUAACAUCUCACCUGCUUGUUUUUAUUAAGGUAUGUACACGUAUGUACAUGUACACUAUUUUUAUUAAUAGAGGUUUCACUACUGAGGUUAAAAUGAUAUAUAAGUCACUUAGAUCACUUCUAAAUGUUAAUGUUUGGUUCAUUUCAGUGUUUUAUUUGUUCCUGAGUAAACCGGUUUGGCUGUGAUUAAAGUUAAGCUUCAUAACAUGUUACUCACAGUUACAUUAAGAGGGGACGGCAGUAAAAACUCCGGACCUGUGACAUCAUCACGUACGCUGGUGUUCCGACUGUACAAAUCACGAGUCCGUGCUCGCGUACUUGAGAAUUGAGAAACGGCCCACGAGUCCGUGCUCGCAUUCUCGGCGGGUACGUACUCACCGAGCAUGCGAGUACGUACUCGCGUACUUGGGCAUUGAUAAACGGCCUUGGUGUAUUAAACAGCUAGCUAACAAGCUAAUGUUAGUUCCAUUCAUUUGAUGGGAAAGUGGAAAACUUGAUUUAAAAUAAUUUAAAAAUUUUAAAUCUUCUGUUUUGUUGCAUUUCUAACCAGAUAUUUUGGUGAGUUUGGAAAAAGAGCAGCUGAAGGACAAGAUGGAAGGUAAGAAACUAUUAAAAACGGUUAAAGUUGGAGACGGAUUUGAAAGGAAACUGAUUUUACAUUUUGAAUCAGGUUCUUGUGUUAAGAUGAUCUGAUAAAAGAAACAAACCAAAUUACAGCAGCUGACCCAAACUGACAUAAAGAGGAGAAACUGUUCACAGUCAAAGCUCAGCCCUACAAACUCCUUCAGAGUGAAACAGGAAACACACAGUGAGAGCUGCACAGGUGUGGCAGGUUGGAACAAGGCGUCCUCUGCAGACGGCGGCCACCUUGGCUCUUUAUGUAACCAUUCAGCUGCUGAACCAAUCACAGCAGAGUACCUGCACAUGCCCAUUAUCAUCCUCUCAUUCAGUCACACCUGAGGCACAGCAAGCAGAGCUUUUCAUGAAGGACAGAAAAACACAGCAGUUACACAAAAUGACACAAAUAUGAUGACAGUCAUAACAACAGGUCAAAGUUCAGUCUGUUACUGUAUCAU